Long non-coding RNA from Lycium ferocissimum, 341 nucleotides. RefSeq lists it as uncharacterized. Lineage: Eukaryota; Viridiplantae; Streptophyta; Magnoliopsida; Solanales; Solanaceae. The transcript has 2 exons. The record is from RefSeq and is a predicted model, not a curated record.
GGUGUCUCAUUAAGAGAAAAAAGAACAUCACUAGCUAUAAUCGGUGUACAAGGAGAGGCAGAUAAAGGAAUCCAAAUACCAACUAUCAUCUUCUAAAAGAAGGAGCGUUUAAUGGUUAUCAUCCCCAAUUUUAAGGUUUCUUUCUCCAGUUCGUAAAAAUGCUUAUGGAAGAAAGGAAGAUACAUACACCCAGCGGAAUCAUAAAUCGCGAAGAUUAUAUUUAUGGGGCUCGUUUCUUCUUUGUAUCGUUCACUUUGAAAAAUGAUCAAUUUUAUAUUACAUGUAAUUUGCUUUCAAAUGGAUGCAAGUGAUCUCAUGAAUAAAUAACCUUUUCUUUCUAA